RNAcentral lists this non-coding RNA (88 nucleotides) under Paenibacillus macerans. RNAcentral's name for it is "c-di-GMP sequence". It matches the Rfam family "c-di-GMP-I riboswitch aptamer". Rfam says of the family: GEMM was predicted in a large-scale screen for bacterial structured RNA regulatory elements. Genes associated with GEMM are involved in a diverse array of functions, including chemotaxis regulation, signal transduction, secretion and chitin. The record is from RNAcentral. Lineage: Bacteria; Bacillati; Bacillota; Bacilli; Caryophanales; Paenibacillaceae.
UUACGAAAAUAGCAAACUUGUCGAAAGACAGGGACGCAAAGCCACAGGGCCUUCUUGACGAAACGUCAAUGGCAGCCUGGCCGCCGAA